GCCCUUGAGUUUGAUCAUGGCUCAGAACGAACGUUGGCGGCGUGCUUAACACAUGCAAGUCGAACGAGAACGGUUUCUUCGGAAGCCUAGUAAAGUGGCGCACGGGUGAGUAACGCGUAAGUAAUCUACCCUUGCAUUCGGGAUAACUACGGGAAGCUGUAGCUAAUACCGAAUACGUUCAUAGAGUUACGACUCUAUGAAGAAAGAUGACCUCUUCUUGAAAGUUAUCGUUCAGGGAGGGGCCCGCGUUCCAUUAGCUAGUUGGUGGGGUAAUGGCCUACCAAGGCGAUGAUGGAUAACCGGCUUGAGAGAGUGGUCGGUCACACUGGAACUGAGACACGGUCCAGACUCCUACGGGAGGCAGCAGUAGGGAAUAUUCCGCAAUGGGCGAAAGCCUGACGGAGCGACGCCGCGUGUGUGAUGAAGGCCUUCGGGUUGUAAAACACUGUUGAGAAGGAAGAAGUGCAAGGGGAGUAACUGCCCUUUGUUUGACGGUACUUUUCGAGGAAGCCCCGGCUAAUUACGUGCCAGCAGCCGCGGUAAUACGAAGGGC
This 553-nucleotide ribosomal RNA is filed under the name uncultured delta proteobacterium. RNAcentral's name for it is "bacterial SSU rRNA". It matches the Rfam family "Bacterial small subunit ribosomal RNA", at positions 1 to 533 of the family's 1533-position model. Lineage: Bacteria; Deltaproteobacteria. The record is from RNAcentral.